GAUGAACGCUGGCGGCGUGCCUAACACAUGCAAGUCGAACGAAACACCUUACCUGAUUCUUCGGCUGAAAGUUUGGUGACUGAGUGGCGGACGGGUGAGUAACGCGUGGGUAACCUGCCCUGUACAGGGGGAGAACAGCUGGAAACGGCUGCUAAUACCGCCUAAUCGCACGGCGAGACAUCUCCUUGUUUGUAAAACUCCGAGAGGACAGGAUGGGCCCGCGUCUGAUUAGCUGGUUGGCAGGGUAACGGCCUACCAAGGCAACGAUCAGUAGCCGGUCUGAGAGGAUGAACGGCCACACUGGAACUGAGACACGGUCCAGACUCCUACGGGAGGCAGCAGUGGGGAAUAUUGCACAAUGGGGGAAAGCCUGAUGCAGCAACGCCGCGUGAGUGAAGAAGUAUUUCGGUAUGUAAAGCUCUAUCAGCAGGGAAGAUAAUGACGGUACCGGAAGAAGAAGCUCCGGCUAACUACGUG
RNAcentral lists this ribosomal RNA (477 nucleotides) under uncultured bacterium. RNAcentral's name for it is "partial 16S ribosomal RNA". It matches the Rfam family "Bacterial small subunit ribosomal RNA", at positions 28 to 507 of the family's 1533-position model. The record is from RNAcentral.